UCUGGUAUUUUUAAAGAGUGAGCAAUCAUAUAAAAGGAAAUAUGGUCAUAACUGAUUGAAGUAAUAAAAUCCCCAAACUAAAUAACAUCUCAUAAUUCAUCACACAGCAUAUAUUAGAUUUCAUUACAUCAGUAUAUAGCUUAGCAGUAAAUUCUCCUGAUAGCCAUAAACCUCUGAGGUGUUGUCAUCCUGAAAAAUGAAGGGGAGGAAGCUGGUGGGGGUACAGAAGGGAUAAAUCUUCCGCUGGUGUGGCACACCAUCAGGUGGAAAAGUUGUAGUGUGUCGCCACCUAAUGGCAUAACUCCUGUCCUUGUUCUAAUACAGGGACUGUUUUUAAAGAGCUGUCUCAUUCACCUUGUCAUUGUAUUCUUCUCUGAUGCUACAGUUCCAAAACUGAGGGCUGCCCAUCGUGUGUUAACAGAUCUACUCUUUAUCUACCAGGCUGUCAAGCAUUUGGUUAUGACACUUUUUAUGUUCACCUAAUUUUUAAAUUCCAAGUACUUCGGUAACUUUCAAAGCCACACACAAGAUGUCUAUAUAUAUAUAUAUUUUUUUUUGGUACUGGGGAUAGAACUCGGAAACUUGUGCUUGUGAGGCAGGCACCAGAACCACUGAGCUAAAUCCCCAGCCCUAAGAUGUCUAUAUUUUAAAAACACCAUACUGAUUGUGAAUUUGGGAUGCCUAUUAUGGCUAUAGGAACUCCGGGCUUUGGCUCAGUUUCUAUUCUAUUUUUGGAUCUUUUUAGCAUGUCAGAAUUAACACAUAGCUGAUGCAUUAAAAGUGGGUCCUCAAACAGCUACAUGAAAUUAUCACAGUCUACAUUUUGGAUUUUACUAAGGUUCUAGAAUUUUAAAAUGGCCAAAGGUGCAGCUAGUGAAGAUUUCUUAAUUAGCAUUUUGGUACCAUACAUAAUCACACAAAGUAGAUGAUGAGAACUUAGUUCAGGAAUGUUAUUAAAUAUUUCUGAGAGACGUGGAAUUUGGAACUGGGGGAGAAGGGCUGAGGCCCCACUGUGCUUUACUCUGCUACACCUUGACAACACAUAGACUAAGUGAUUCUAUGAAGUGCACUAGAACAGUGAACAUAAGCCAGGUAGCUCUACUUUGUAGAUGGAAUUGCAAAGUACAGUUAAAAAGAAAAUAAUAAGGCCUGGGGAUUUAGCUCAGUGGUUCUGCCCCCUGCUUUGCAAGCACAAGGUCCCGAGUUCAAUCCCCGUACCAAAAAAAAAAAAAAAAACACAAAAAACUAGAACAUGAGCUACUUCUCAAUAAAGCACUCUAUCUUCCUUCAAGGUCUACAAAAAGCAUAUAUUCAAACCCUAGACCAAUCUCAAGUUUUGAACAAAAGAUACCAAACACUUUAAAGC
Molecule: long non-coding RNA, 1366 nt
Filed under: Heterocephalus glaber (naked mole-rat)
Lineage: Eukaryota; Metazoa; Chordata; Mammalia; Rodentia; Bathyergidae
Description: lncRNA (ENSHGLG00000033395.1)
Source: RNAcentral